RNAcentral lists this long non-coding RNA (1121 nucleotides) under Apteryx owenii (little spotted kiwi). Its description in RNAcentral is "lncRNA (ENSAOWG00000004124.1)". Lineage: Eukaryota; Metazoa; Chordata; Aves; Apterygiformes; Apterygidae. The record is from RNAcentral.
AUGGGGCAUCCCUGGAAGGAUGGUUUUGGGGCUGGGGCAUCCCUGGGACGAUGAUUUUUGGGGCUGGGGCAUCCUUUGGGAUGAUGGUUUUGGGGAUGGGAUGUCCCAUAGGAUCAUAGUUUUGGGGAUGGGAUGUCCAAUGGGAUGAGGGUUUCAGGGAUGGAGUGUCCCUGGGACGAUGGUUUUGUGGAUGGGACAUCCCUUGGGACGGUGGUUUUGAGGAUGGGGCAUCUCUGGGAUGAUAGUUUUGGACAUUGGGUGUCCCUGGAAGAUGGUUUUGGGAAUGGGAUGUCCCUGGGAGGAUGAUUUGGGGGCUGGGGAGUGUUUGUGUCUGGGGCCGUCCUGGUCGCCUGGGCAGGGGAUGGUGCUGGGGGCCGCGGCCCAGCCCCGUCCCCUCCUGACGCCCGGUGCCCCAGGGCUACACCCCGCUGCACAUCGCGGCGCUCCACGGGCACCGCCAGAUCGUGGACCUGCUCGUCGAGCGCUUCGGGGCCAAGCAGGACCUGCGGGAUUACAGCGGGCGCCUGCCCGGGCACUACCUGAGUGCCGCAGCCGCGCAGGAUGGGGCCACCGAGACCCCCCAGGUGCCAGCUGCACGGGGCAGGAGCCGGCGGCUGGCCUGCCUGCUGCUGCCCAAGGCCGGCGGCCAGGCUCGACGGCGCUGGGGCUCGGCCGAGGACCUCGCCGGCCCAGAGGAGGAUCGGGCUCCGGCGCAGCACCUCGCACCGCCCAUGGCCUACCGGCCCGUGCGCAAGUUCUCCCGCUGACCCUCGGCUCCCUGCACCCUGCCCAGGACCCUGCCCUUGCCCAGCACCGGCUCCGGGACAAUCCUGGGCCAGGGCUGGGUGCCAGGGCAGGGUGCACAGCUGGGCACCGUGGGACAGACACCGAUGGCUCUUGGCACUGCAAUAAAACCUUUGUGCACUGCAUCCCCCUGUGCACUGUGUCUCCAUGCACGCUGUGUCCCCGGGUGCAAUGUGUCCCUGUGUGGGUGCUCGUGGGGCCGGGGGUCCCCUGGUGCCCUGCAGCUCUGCCUGGCUCCAGUGCCGCAGCUCUGGGGGCAUCUGGGCAGGGGAGAGUGGGGAGAGGAUGCACCCUGCCAGUCCCUACCCAAAAACCAG